GUGCUCGCUUUGGCAACACAUAGACUAAAAUUGGAACAAUACAGAGAAGAUUAGCAUGGCCCUUGUGCAAGGAUGACAUGCAAAUUUGUGAAGCAUUCCAUAUUUUU
RNAcentral lists this small nuclear RNA (107 nucleotides) under Cebus imitator (Panamanian white-faced capuchin). Lineage: Eukaryota; Metazoa; Chordata; Mammalia; Primates; Cebidae. The record is from RNAcentral.